This is a long non-coding RNA of Balaenoptera musculus (blue whale), 5119 nucleotides long. RefSeq lists it as uncharacterized. The transcript has 4 exons. Lineage: Eukaryota; Metazoa; Chordata; Mammalia; Artiodactyla; Balaenopteridae. The record is from RefSeq and is a predicted model, not a curated record.
UUUGCACUGCGCGAGCUGCUCCUGCCUCCCUCCCGGGGCCAGCUUCUCCCUGAGGUCAGCCUUUGACACCAGCUUUCCCAGCCCCGCUUUCCCUCGAAGCUGCUCCCACAAGCUGCCCCUAUUUCCUUUCCCUAACUUGUCGGCUCCUGGAAAAUAAGGACCAUAUAUCAUUCACUACCCUACCCCCGAGGCCAGCAACGGAGCCUGGACCGUGCUUGGCUGAUGUGAGUGCAUUGAAGAGCUUUGGACUACUGGACAUGGAACAGAUAAGAGGAAGAGAUUUUUCCAUCAUCUCCCUCCUAGCCUGUCUCCCAAGGGCCUCCGACGAAUCACCGUGUGUUCUGGGUAUGCAAAACCACUGGAAUAAUCGCCAUAUCAAGAUGAAAUGAGAAAGACCAAAUGCUCACUGGAGGGGAGUGAUAUGCUGACCAAAGACAUCCCCAAACAUGAAGCUGUCCUGCUGGGAUUGUCCUGCCAGUGGUCGUUUUCCUUCCUGCCUUCUCGAAUACUCCCAACCCCAAAGCAAAGGGCCCCUCUGCACAAAGGUUGAGAUUGCGUCCCAGCUGUGGCCACAACAGCGACAUCGAUCCUCAUCUGUUCCCCACCACUGAAUUCUCCACUGCGCGUUAGAAACAAGCAAUGCAGCCUCCGCUACCAGCGACACCGGCGGGACCUGGCUUUUAGAAGUAAGAUUGAAUGGCUAUUAGAAGGGGUGACGGCUAUAACCUAACACUGUACAGAGAGACCAAGGUAAUGAAGUAACACAGCAUCGUAGAAUGUGGAGAUCUGGAAGGCUCUUUAGACAUCAUUCUGGCCAACCCCUUUGCUUUACAGGUGAAGAAACCCAGGACCAAAGAGGUUAAUUGACUUAUCCAAGGUCAUAGUGUGAAUUAUUGUCCUUUGGUUGUUCAGGUCACCCUUAAACAAAAAUUUUUUUCCCAAGGUUUCUAAGAGUUCAGAGUUCAUAGUCCAUCAGCUUUAAUAGUUUAAAUGCUUCCCUUUAGAACUCAUUCAUCGGCGGUGAAUCAUGGGAACCUAUCAUGAACAUGCCCCACAUGUUAUAGGUGAUUAAAAAAGGGGAAAGAGGUUUCUGCACCUCAUAUCUUACAAUUGAAUUGGAGACUUAAGAAAUAUAAAUAGCAAGAGGAAAAAUGAAAUUCUUAGGUAGGUAAAAAAAAAAAAUGAAAUCCUUGAUGUAUGCGUGUAAAUGCUGUGCAUAAAGAGAAUUCUACGGAGUAGGUGUCCUAUGCUUUAUCUUAAAGAAACUAAAGACCACGUGUUUGUAUUAAUAUUUAGAGAGCCAUUAAUUUACUAUUGGGAUUAUAAAGUAAAAGUGAUAAAUAGCAAUAUAUAUUUUGUGUUCUAUAAUGUCCAUGUAUAAAGUUUCCUGGGCGUUUCAGCAGCCACCAACAUCACUGAAAAUAUGUUUAUGGCCCACGAAAAAAUUCCAUUUGAAUCUUGGCUCUUUGAAACAUAGCUUCCUCUCUUCAUCCUUAUUGCCUCAUUUCUAGUAUAAAGUGGUCAGAUUAGAUGAUCUUUAAGGUUCCUACAAAUUUCCACUUUCCUUGAUUAGGGAGUGACUAAAAACAAAAGGCAAAAUAGUCCAGAUGUUCUAGUAGGUUUACAUUUGCAUCUGAGAGAAGUCCUGAAGUACCUCAAUAGUUUUAAAUUAUUUUUUGAGUGGUGAAAUAUCACUGAAAAUUUUCUAUGAAAUUCUCCCAGUAAAAUAACUGGUUUUAGAGUUCUGCACUGUCGAUCUUGUAGUUCCAGCGCAGAUUUGGGAUAAUUAUGGUGAUUUCCACUGGGUAGAACAAUAUUUUAGGAUCAGAACAAUCAAACUCAAAUUAUACAGGUACAACAGCUUAACAAUUGUUACACAUAUUUUAUAAUUCAUAUCAAACUGAUGAGUCCCUUUGGUCUACCCAUCAAAAUAACUGUCAGAGGUAAAUAGGCACUCAUUUUCCAUGUGAACUUUUCCAUGUUGAUGCUGGAAAACCGUUUCUAAGGGUAUAAUAGCAAUAGCUGCCCCUGAAAGCCUCGAGCCCCAGAUGAUCAUUUAAAUGGUUCUUGUGAAUGGCACAACUCGUGUUUAUGAGUGCCAGGUCCCAGUGUUUCAGAUACAUUGAAACAGCCUUUGCCAAUGCAGCUUUAGCCAGUAAGAAUAGCUAAUAUUGAUGCUUACUGAGUGCUAACUAUGACUAUACUGAAAGUUUUGCAUAUAUUAUCUUAUUUAAUACUCCCAAUAAUCUGAAGAGGGAGGUACUGUUAUUAUCCCCAUUAUACAGAUAAAGAAACUGAAUAUUAGAAGGUUAAAUAGUUUGCCUAAAAUACAUCUAGAAAACAGUAAAGCUGAGAUCCGAAGCCAGAUGUAUUGACCUCACGGACAAUACGCUAAUCACUAUACAGUAUUACCUCGUGGCUUACAAUAGUCUAGAAGACAAAUGAUUUUUAAGUUGCUUUGAUAAAUACCCUUUAUGUGGAAAAUGAUGGGUGUGCAGACUGAGUAGUGUGUAUGAUGGUGGUGGAGGUUAGAGGCGCGCGGAUCAUUAAUUUUUAUUGACUUUAGUUAAUUGCAUUUAAUUCGAAUCGUUCAACGAUUUUGGCCAACUGCAUGUUGUGCCUGUCUGGGUCUGCAGUAUCACUGACAGCAGAGAUGUGGGUACCAGGCUAAGUAGGCAUCCUUCCUCCAGAACCUUCACUGGCAGACACGAGCGUGCAUCAUCCAACCCGGGUCUGAACAGCGAGUUCAGAAGCCAUCUCAUUAUUUAAAUUUCUGAUCUGCAGUGUUGUAUGAAAUACUGUGAAGAACCCCGUGCUUUAGGAUCGGUGGAAUAUCAACACAUUUCCCAGCCUAAAUCUAAAGCAAUGGUGCUUAAUAAUUUAUAUGAACCCAUAUCCCCCUUCUCCAUGUGGUUAAAGAUAAUGGAAUAGAGAACUGCGCUCUCCGAGAAUGUUACAGGCCAAUUUACAAUUCUAAUUCUCUGUUUGGUCAUCUAAAAUAUACUAUUUUAGCAGCUUUCUGCCUUUAACAGGUAUUUCUUGAAAGCAAUUCCUACUUGCAUUACUGUUCCGUAAAUGUUUGGCUUGAAAGAAAAGAAAAUGUGUCCUUCAAAACAAGUGUGUUUCUUUCAGGGCUACUUCUGUAUGUGAAUUUCUCCGUGGUGACUACCCAGUGUUUUCUGUUACCAUCUUCUCAGCGUUCAAUUCAUUACCCCUGUUCAUUAUUCAAUUUGUUGGGCUUUGAGCACCUGAAUAAUUGAAAGCUAUGCAAGUAUUAUAAAUUAUAGUGUCCACGUUCAUAAUCCCCAUUUUAGAGUUUAUAGCUUCACUGUAAAAAUUCAUUGUGUUGGAACCUUACAUACAAGGUCUUACACUGAAAACAAAUUAAUUUAUACUUACAUUUCUUUCUUCCCUAAACUCAAUAUUUAUCAAAUCUUACAUUUUUCCAGUUACGAUUUUUAGGGCUUUUACUGCCACAGCAAGACCAAUGAAAAAGAAUGUUCUACAUGUUCAUUCAUUCUUUUUUGUAACAAAUAUUUAUGGAGUGACUAUACCUUUGACAGUGUGAGGCUGGGGCUAGGUCAGCCUAUUUUCUUUGAGAAGAAUGAGAGAGAAAGCAGGCUUUGCAACCCUUUAAGUUAUGGCCUCCACCUCCUGAUGGCACUCCAAAAUCAAAACAAACCAAAAAACCCCCAAACCAAAUCCUCAGCAGCUCUUCCUCUGUAGUCUCUGCCCCUGGGUUCUUCCUGGUCCACAUAGGGCCCUGAGGGCUGGAAGAUUCUGUAGCCUCCUUGAGGCAGGUAGCCCAGUUCUUUGCUCUGCAAAUAAAUAUGGGAAUAAAUGUUUUCAGUGAGAGUAAGAAGGAAAGAAGAGAAGAUGGGUGAAGUUUAAGAGACUGAUGACCCAGCUAGUAAGUGCCUGAGCUGGAAGGCAGGCUGCAGACUAAGUCUUGUGGCUGCAAAUCUAGUGUGGUUUUUAAUUUCGUCAGCACUGCCUCUGCAUUGCUAGAUUGAUUGAUUGAUUGGCUUUACCAUAAUAAAAAUAGCUUUACUGGGUUUUUUUUUCUCCAUAAUUAUACCAGCAAUACCCACCCUUCUCUUUGUAAAAGCUGAAACAAUGGAUUAAGGUAGAAAGUUGAAAGUGAAAAUCACCUGGAAAUAAAUUUGAUUGGCAUUAGUUCAACAAGUAUUUCUGAAGCACAUAUUCUGUACCACUUGGGCCUUGGUAAAUAGGGAUUGCUAUUACAGAUGUGGUUCCUGCCCUUAGUUAGCAUAAAAUUGGUGAAAGAUACAAAAAAUAGGCAAGAAAGCAAAUGAAUGUAUAUUAUUUUUAUGACGGCUGAGAGCAGAGAAUCAUGAUGGCAAAUCAACGGGGAAGGUACUACUUACGUCAAGCUAUUAGAAAUGAUCUCUCCUGGGAAGCAGUAUUGUAGAGUAUGGCCUUCCAAACUGUAUUCUAUGGCUCUGUUUAUGCAUUUUUAUUUUUGACAAAAACAAGAUCAUAUAUGCAUAUUGUUUUGCAACUUGCCUUUUCAAUAUAAGCCUGUUAAUCUUCCAUGUAAAUAAGUAUAGGUUGAAUGUAUUAUAUUGUAUGAAUAUAUCAUAAUUUAAGAAAAUCAAUCCUCUAUUGAUGAAUAUUGAUUUUUUUUUUUUUGCUUUCAUAUGCAUUGCAAGGAUGGACUUCCUUUAAAAUAUCCCUUGGGGUGUAUUUACCAUUAUUUCUUAGCAUAAAUACAUAGGAACAGAAUUUCUGAGUCACAGAGUGUACACACUAAAAGUUUUGAUACAUGUUGUCAAAAUACUAUAUGAAAACUUGUACCAAUGUAUACUCCCUGGAGCAUCAUGUUCAAAUAGGAGACAGAAGAGAAGAAUGACUUGAGGGGGCAGCUUUGGAGUUAGAUUGCCUGGGUACAAGUUUCAGGUCCCGCACAUGUGAACUGUGUCUGACUUUCGACAAGUUGUGACACCCACCCAAUAUCUCAGUUUUCUUAUCUAGAGUGUGGGCAUAAUAACUUAUGGGAUUGUUGUGAAGAGAUUAAAUGAGAUAACUCAUGUUCAUCAUUUAACAAAGUACAUGGCACAUAAUAAACGCUCAAUAAAAAUAUGAGGUAUUACCAUUA